AUACGUAGGUGACAAGCGUUAUCCGGAUUUACUGGGCGUAAAGGGCGUGUAGGCGGUCUUGCAAGUCAGAAGUGAAAUUCCUGAGCUCAACUCGGGCGCUGCUUCUGAAACUGCAGGACUUAAGUGCUGGAGGGGAUAGCGGAAUUCCUAGUGGAGCGGUAAAAUGCGCAGAUAUUAGGAAGAACACCGGUGGCGAAGGCGGCUAUCUGGACAGUAACUGACGCUGAGGCGCGAAAGCGUGGGGAGCAAACAGGAUUAGAUACCCUGGUAGUCCACGCCGUAAACGAUGGAUACUAGGUGUAGGGGGUAUCGACUCCCUCUGUGCCGCAGUUAACACAAUAAGUAUUCCGCCUGGGGAGUACGGCCGCAAGGUUGAAACUCAAAUGAAUUGACGGGG
RNAcentral lists this ribosomal RNA (397 nucleotides) under uncultured bacterium. RNAcentral's name for it is "partial 16S ribosomal RNA". It matches the Rfam family "Bacterial small subunit ribosomal RNA", at positions 523 to 918 of the family's 1533-position model. The record is from RNAcentral.